CGCUGACGAGCGGCGGACGGGUGAGUAACGCGUAGGAAUCUACCUGGUAGUGGGGGAUAGCCCGAGGAAACUCGGAUUAAUACCGCAUACGCCCCACGGGGGAAAGCGGGGGUCUUCGGACCUCGUGCUAUCAGAUGAGCCUGCGUUGGAUUAGCUAGUUGGUGAGGUAAAGGCUCACCAAGGCGACGAUCCAUAGCUGGUCUGAGAGGAUGAUCAGCCACACUGGGACUGAGACACGGCCCAGACUCC
This 249-nucleotide ribosomal RNA is filed under the name uncultured bacterium. Its description in RNAcentral is "partial 16S ribosomal RNA". It matches the Rfam family "Bacterial small subunit ribosomal RNA", at positions 86 to 339 of the family's 1533-position model. The record is from RNAcentral.